Molecule: ribosomal RNA, 1495 nt
Filed under: Fragilariopsis cylindrus CCMP1102
Lineage: Eukaryota; Bacillariophyta; Bacillariophyceae; Bacillariales; Bacillariaceae
Description: bacterial SSU rRNA
Rfam family: Bacterial small subunit ribosomal RNA
Source: RNAcentral
UGAGUUUGAUCCUGGCUCAGGAUGAACGCUAGUAGUAUGCUUUACACAUGCAAGUUGAACGGAAAAUUCAUUUUUCCGUGGCGUACGGGUGAGUAUUCGCAGAAUUUUUCCUUUCAAUUCAGAACAAAAAUUUACUUGAUUAAAUUCAAAUACUGAAUAUUUUUAAAGGUUCAUUCCGUUGAAAGAUAAAUCUGCAUAAGAUUAGGUUGUUGGUAAAUUCAAAGCUUACCAAGCCCACGAUCUUUAGUUGGUCUUAGAGGAUGAUCAACCACACUGGAACUGAAAUAAGGUCCAGGCUGACACGUCGGCCAGCAGUGAGGGAUAUUGGACAAUGAACGAAAGUUUGAUCCAGCAAUACUAACUGGGUGAUUGACGGCUUAUUUAAGUUGUAAGAUCCUUUAAUUAAAGAAGAUAAUGACAUUAUUUAAUUGAAUUUUAGUCCUGGCUAAUACUCGUGCCAGCAGCCGCGGUAAUACGGGAAGGGCAAGCGUUAUCCGGCAUGACUGGGCGUAAAGAGUCCGUAGACUGUAGAGUAAGUUUUUUGUUAAAUUUUAAGACCUAAUCUUAAACUUGCAAUUAAUACUGCUUUGCUUUGAGUUUAAUACAGAAAAGUAGAAUUUUAUACGACAGGGGUGAAAUCCGUAGAUAUAUAAAGGAAUGCCAACAGCGAAGGCAACUUUUUGGUAUAAACUGACGUUGAGGGACGAAAGCGUGGGUAGCAAACAGGAUUAGAGACCCUGGUAGUCCACGCCGUAAAUUCUGAGUGCUGUAAUUUAAUUGUAAUAUUCUUUUAUAUUACUUAGAUUUUCAAGCUAACGCAAUAAGCACUCCGCCUGAGGAGUACGAUCGCAAGAUUGGAACUCAAAGGAAUUGACGGGGGUCUAACACUAGUGGUGGAGCAUGUGGUUUAAUGCGAUAAUCCGCGCAAAAUCUUACCAAUUCUUGACAUAUUUGAACAAUUAUACAAAUUAAUAUGGUUUUUAUGUAUGAUGUUUUUUUACAGGUGUUGCAUGACUGUCGUCAGCUCGUGUCGUGAGACGUCUGGUUAGGUCCUGAAACGGGCGCAACUCUUACUUUUUACAAAGUUUUUACAGAUUAAAAGUUUUUAUGAUAUAAAAAUCUUUUAAAUGCUUUAAAAGUACGGUCAACGAUAAGUUGAAGGAAGGUAAGAAUGAAGUCAAGUCACCAUGACCCUGAUGAAUUGGGCUACACAUGUGCUACAAUGAAAAUUACAAAAAGUGACAAAAAAGAAAUUUUAAGUUAAUCAACAAAAAUUUUCCCAGUUCGGAUUGUAAACUGCAACUCGUUUACAUGAAGUUGGAAUCACUAGUAAUCGCAAAUCAGCACGUUGCGGUGAACAUGUAACUUGGCCUUGUACACACCGCCCGUCACUUGCAAAGAAUCAGUUUCGCUUGAAGAUUUUAAUAAAAUCCAUUGAGAGAUUGAUAAUUUGGAUGAAGUCGUAACAAGGUAGCUGUACGGGAACGUGUAGCUG